Molecule: ribosomal RNA, 31 nt
Filed under: Araucaria heterophylla
Lineage: Eukaryota; Viridiplantae; Streptophyta; Pinopsida; Araucariales; Araucariaceae
Also listed under: 2 other names
Description: partial 18S ribosomal RNA
Source: RNAcentral
UACCGUAGGUGAACCUGCGGUAGGAUCAUUG